RNAcentral lists this ribosomal RNA (394 nucleotides) under uncultured bacterium. RNAcentral describes it as "bacterial SSU rRNA". It matches the Rfam family "Bacterial small subunit ribosomal RNA", at positions 356 to 767 of the family's 1533-position model. The record is from RNAcentral.
GGGGAAUCUUGCACAAUGGGGGCAACCCUGAUGCAGCGACGCCGCGUGAGCGAUGAAGCCCUUCGGGGCGUAAAGCUCUUUCGACCGGAACGAUAAUGACGGUACCGGGAGAAGAAGCUGCGGCUAACUACGUGCCAGCAGCCGCGGUAAUAAGUAGGGGGCAAGCGUUGUCCGGAUUUACUGGGUGUAAAGGGCGCGCAGGCGGGAUAAAAAGUCAGUGGUGAAAUCCUACAGCUUAACUGUAGAACUGCCUUUGAUACUUUUAUUCUUGAGUUCGGGAGAGAGAGACGGAAUUCCAGGUGUAGUGGCGAAAUACGUAGAUAUCUGGAAGAACACCAGUUGCGAAGGCGGUCUCUUGGUCCGACACUGACGCUGAGGCGCGAAAGCGUGGGGA